RNAcentral lists this unclassified non-coding RNA (96 nucleotides) under soil metagenome. RNAcentral describes it as "partial internal transcribed spacer 1". The record is from RNAcentral.
UGGGAUGUUUUUUAUUAUGUUAGAGUUGUCUGUGGGGGUUUUACACCAACAUUAUUCUACUGGGAAAAUAGUGCUAAAAAAGAGUAUUUUAAAACA